GAGAAAGCCAACUUCUCUUAGGGGGUUGAUACCCAUCAGUUGCCCGGUUGGAAAUAUAAUGUGGGGAGACCUAAUCUCCAUUAAUCACCGUAUCAAAAUCAAUCAGUUCAGGAAGAGGAAUUUACAAAAAUAAUUCACCACAACUACUUUGAAUUAACCAGGAAUGUACAGAAACAAAUUGUUCAGAAAAAUGAUAAAAAUCAAUUUCCUUUUCUCGUUAGGGCAAUAAAAAAAUAAAUAAAAAAAACCCACAAAAUCUGUAACAAUUCACAAACCCAAAUGGUGUAAAAACAAGUCAAACUUUUGGCUUCCUCAGCUUCAAAUUUAACAGUAUUCACAUUGUCAAGUACUUGGCCUCUUUUCACUGUUUUUGCUUCGGAAGGGUGACAACAAGGAGAAAUGGCGAGGAGUCUUUUGAGCAGUACUACUAGCAGUGGGGGUUUCAUCCUGAGAGAUGAGAUUCUUCAACGUAUGAACUGGUGAUUACAACCAAAUAUUCAGGUCAGCUUGUAUUGUAGAUAUAUCAAUCACUAUUUAAAGCUUCUAAUGAUAAGUAUCCACCAGCAUAAAAUUCA
Molecule: unclassified non-coding RNA, 575 nt
Filed under: Hevea brasiliensis (rubber tree)
Lineage: Eukaryota; Viridiplantae; Streptophyta; Magnoliopsida; Malpighiales; Euphorbiaceae
Source: RNAcentral